Molecule: ribosomal RNA, 445 nt
Filed under: uncultured bacterium
Lineage: Bacteria
Description: bacterial SSU rRNA
Rfam family: Bacterial small subunit ribosomal RNA
Source: RNAcentral
GUGAGGAAUAUUGCGCAAUGGAGGCAACUCUGACGCAGCCAUGCCGCGUGCAGGAAGAAGGCGCUACGCGUUGUAAACUGCUUUUAACCGGGAAGAAACCCCAGGACGUGUCCUGGGUUGACGGUACCGGAGGAAUAAGCACCGGCUAACUUCGUGCCAGCAGCCGCGGUAAUACGAAGGGUGCAAGCGUUAUCCGGAUUCAUUGGGUUUAAAGGGUGCGUAGGCGGAGCGUUAAGUCAGUGGUGAAAUCCUGCAGCUUAACUGUAGACUUGCCAUUGAUACUGGCGCUCUUGAGUGCGCUUGAAGUGGGCGGAAUGUGCCGUGUAGCGGUGAAAAGCUUAGAUAUGGCACAGAACACCAAUUGCGAAGGCAGCUCACUAAGGCGAUACUGACGCUGAGGCACGAAAGCGUGGGGAUCGAACAGGAUUAGAAACCCCAGUAGUCC